AAAAAUAAAAGUAUAACAUAUUUGAGAGAUGCACAAUUAGGUUCUCUAUCAUGGUUAUUUUUAAAGGUAAUACCUAAAAAUAUAUGAGAAAUAGGGAAUAUGGUUGGAUAAACAUGUUAUUUAUAAAAAGACAAUUUAUGACAAAAGAAUUGUACAUACGAUACUAGACAGAGUGCUCGACGUGCAGUAGUUGGAACUCGGUGUACGGGGUGAGUAGGUCAGCUCGGCUAUUGGGUUUAGGGUGCAGGUCAUGAGUUUGACCCAGAUUUAUUGGUAAGCUCGUUGUGGUACAAUUAAAUAACUUUUUUAUACCUUAGUAUAAGGCUACUAGUAAAGAGUAUUUUUGAACCUAGGGGUACGUAUAAUACAUAUGGAGCCUAGGUCAAGUAAAUGUUUCUUUUAACUUAAGUACGUGUGUUCUAGGACACAUAGUGGUUAAGUUGCAUGCAUGACAAAAGAUAAUGUUGCACCAUGAGUAGGGUGUCCACGUAAACAUAAUGUUCCCCUGAUGUUGGCGCAUAAGAUGGUGUCCUGCUGGCAUGUGGUUGUUCUGUUAUUAUUUUAUACUCUCCUUAAAGAUAAGAUUCCUUUCUGUUGUAGCACCUUGAGAGAAGGUGCCCAUAAACAGAAUGUUUUCCUAUUGGGUAUGCUUUCAGUUGAGAUUAGAUUCUCACGAGAAAAAGUUGUUACAAAGAAUAGUUAUAAAAGGGGCUUGAGACCCCAGGUAAAGGAAAGUUAUUUUUGAGACUGAAACUGAAUACUUCUUAAAUUCUAGUAAGCCCUUAUUGACUUGAUCGUUGGAGUGUAUCAACAGGUAGGACCCCCUCUGUUUCAGCGGAGCUGCGUUCCAGUGCAACAAAAUGUAGAACAUAUUCCAGGAGAGGCAGACCGAGGCUAGAGCUUAUCGCCAAGGUCAACCGAUGAAGAAGUCAACCAGCAACAGCACAUACCAAUUGACUUGUAGAAUUCAAGC
RNAcentral lists this long non-coding RNA (973 nucleotides) under Phaseolus vulgaris (common bean). RNAcentral's name for it is "long non-coding RNA (PVUL_LNC003532)". The record is from RNAcentral. Lineage: Eukaryota; Viridiplantae; Streptophyta; Magnoliopsida; Fabales; Fabaceae.